CUCCCUCGUCCCUGUGGGCCCCAUCUCGUCCUGGCCGUGCUUCCACGUGUGCAAUGACCUGCCUGCUGUCCGUGGCACCAUGGUGACUUCACUGGACGCAGCAUGCUUUUGGCCAGCAGUGUGACCCCAUGAGCCGCCCUCUGUGCCUAGCACGCAGGAGCUGGUCUCUCUGCAUAACCCGCCUCCAGCAUCUCUCUUCUGUUCCCUCCAUCAGGUGCAGAGAAGGAGAAAUCUUUAUAAAGACUUCUAUAUCAAGGACUGAGAGAUUUCCAACCCUUUAAAAGGGGGAGGAGAAGAUAGGUUAUUUGGAAAUCAUGAAUUUGUAGGGGCUCCACAAGUGCCACUUAGGAAUUAGGGACAGGCAGGACAAUUUGUAUUAAGAAAUGACACUAAUUUUUAGCCAACAUGUUCAUGAAAUGAGACCUGAUAUUUUGCCAAAGUAAAUAAAUGGAUAAAUAAAGUUUA
Long non-coding RNA from Phyllostomus discolor (pale spear-nosed bat), 465 nucleotides. RefSeq lists it as uncharacterized. The record is from RefSeq and is a predicted model, not a curated record. Lineage: Eukaryota; Metazoa; Chordata; Mammalia; Chiroptera; Phyllostomidae. The transcript is spliced from 3 exons.